UACGUAGGGGGCAAGCGUUGUCCGGAUUUAUUGGGCGUAAAGAGCGUGUAGGCGGCCUGAAAGGUCAGCUGUGAAAACUCGAGGCUCAACCUCGAGACGUCGGUUGAAACCAUCUGGCUAGAGUCCGGAAGAGGCGAGUGGAAUUCCUGGUGUAGCGGUGAAAUGCGCAGAUAUCAGGAGGAACACCAAUGGCGAAGGCAGCUCGCUGGGACGUGACUGACGCUGAGACGCGAAAGCGUGGGGAGCAAACAGG
RNAcentral lists this ribosomal RNA (253 nucleotides) under uncultured bacterium. Its description in RNAcentral is "partial 16S ribosomal RNA". It matches the Rfam family "Bacterial small subunit ribosomal RNA", at positions 524 to 776 of the family's 1533-position model. The record is from RNAcentral.